Molecule: unclassified non-coding RNA, 204 nt
Filed under: Hevea brasiliensis (rubber tree)
Lineage: Eukaryota; Viridiplantae; Streptophyta; Magnoliopsida; Malpighiales; Euphorbiaceae
Source: RNAcentral
CAUAAGCAGGAUAAGCAAAUAGCCCUUUUGGACUAUGCUUUGAUCUUCUCCGAAAAUAUUGACUUAGUUGUGAUCCUUUGAUCCUUAAAUCAAGCCAUGUUUCUGGUGCUGCAAUCACUUUUGAAUCUUUAAAAGUAACAAAUUCGCGUAUACAGUCAUACUCUUCACCAAGAAUUGUCAUAUAGUAAUUUCCCCUGAAGAAAG